AACUGACUGAAUAUACCAAGGUGGAAGAUUGUGAGUUUUCUUCAUUCUGUGGCUCACUGAGACAUUCUUAUUCCACAAAUGAAAAACAGAAGGUUGGAGUAAAAAAGAUUGUAUGGCAUGAUCACCUUCUAGAAGCAAUAAAUGGAUACGCUCAAGCAGCAUUAAUUAGAUACUACAGGAAUGCUUUGCCUUUUAUCUUUCCUUUGGAAGCAGUAUCCAUAAGCCUUCAUCAGAAGCUUCUAAAAGUGGAAGGAAUUUUUCUUUGUUAGAAUGGACCACGGGCUAAAUUAAAGGAGAUUGCUAUAAGCUGCUUUCAUGUUGUAUCAGAGUAAGAUGGACGGUAGCUUUGAUUGUGAUUGUGGUGAGCUGGAGCCACCUGAUCACUAACAAAAGACAUCUUCUGUUAACCAACAGCCACCAGGGCUUCCUGUUGAAAUAAAUAUAUAGCAACAAAGGAAGAAAAGAAGCAAAACGGAAAUAGUGCUUACCAGCACCUUAGAAUGAUGCUGCUCAGGACCAGUCCAACACUGAAUGUAUCUGCACUGUGAGGAGA
RNAcentral lists this small RNA (553 nucleotides) under Pongo abelii (Sumatran orangutan). RNAcentral describes it as "processed transcript". The record is from RNAcentral. Lineage: Eukaryota; Metazoa; Chordata; Mammalia; Primates; Hominidae.